CCCUUAGAGUUUGAUCCUGGCUCAGGAUGAACGCUGGCGGCGUGCUUAACACAUGCAAGUCGAACGAAGCACUUUGAUCGAUUUCUUCGGAUUGGAAUUUUAGUGACUGAGUGGCGGACGGGUGAGUAACGCGUGGGUAACCUGCCUCACACAGGGGGAUAACAGUUGGAAACGGCUGCUAAUACCGCAUAAGCGCACAGUACCGCAUGGUACAGUGUGAAAAACUCCGGUGGUGUGAGAUGGACCCGCGUCUGAUUAGCUAGUUGGCAGGGUAACGGCCUACCAAGGCGACGAUCAGUAGCCGACCUGAGAGGGUGACCGGCCACAUUGGGACUGAGACACGGCCCAAACUCCUACGGGAGGCAGCAGUGGGGAAUAUUGCACAAUGGGGGAAACCCUGAUGCAGCGACGCCGCGUGAGCGAAGAAGUAUUUCGGUAUGUAAAGCUCUAUCAGCAGGGAAGAAGAAAUGACGGUACCUGACUAAGAAGCACCGGCUAAUC
RNAcentral lists this ribosomal RNA (501 nucleotides) under uncultured bacterium. Its description in RNAcentral is "bacterial SSU rRNA". It matches the Rfam family "Bacterial small subunit ribosomal RNA", at positions 1 to 502 of the family's 1533-position model. The record is from RNAcentral.